This 497-nucleotide ribosomal RNA is filed under the name uncultured bacterium. Its description in RNAcentral is "partial 16S ribosomal RNA". It matches the Rfam family "Bacterial small subunit ribosomal RNA", at positions 28 to 507 of the family's 1533-position model. The record is from RNAcentral.
GAUGAACGCUGGCGGCGUGCCUAAUACAUGCAAGUCGAGCGAACGGACGAGAAGCUUGCUUCUCUGAUGUUAGCGGCGGACGGGUGAGUAACACGUGGAUAACCUACCUAUAAGACUGGGAUAACUUCGGGAAACCGGAGCUAAUACCGGAUAAUAUUUUGAACCGCAUGGUUCAAAAGUAAAAGACGGUCUUGCUGUCACUUAUAGAUGGAUCCGCGCUGCAUUAGCUAGUUGGUAAGGUAACGGCUUACCAAGGCAACGAUGCAUAGCCGACCUGAGAGGGUGAUAGGCCACACUGGAACUGAGACACGGUCCAGACUCCUACGGGAGGCAGCAGUAGGGAAUCUUCCGCAAUGGGCGAAGGCCUGACGGAGCAACGCCGCGUGAGUGAUGAAGGUCUUCGGAUCGUAAAACUCUGUUAUUAGGGAAGAACAUAUGUGUAAGUAACUGUGCACAUCUUGACGGUACCUAAUCAGAAAGCCACGGCUAACUACGUG